GAUGAAGAACGCUGCGAAAUGCGAUAAGUAAUGUGAAUUGCAGAAUUCAGUGAAUCAUCGAAUCUUUGAACGCACAUUGCGCCCCCUGGUAUUCCGGGGGGCAUGCCCGUCCGAGCGUCAUUACAACCCUCAAGCUCAGCUUGGUGUUGGGCCCCGCCGCCCCGGCGGGCCCUAAAGUCAGUGGCGGUGCCGUCCGGCUCCGAGCGUAGUAAUUCUUCUCGCUCUGGAGGUCCGGUCGUGUGCUCGCCAGCAACCCCCAAUUUUUUUCAGGUUGACCUCGGAUCAGGUAGGGAUACCCGCUGAACUUAAGCAUAUCAAUAAGCGGAGGA
Molecule: unclassified non-coding RNA, 329 nt
Filed under: soil metagenome
Description: partial contains 5.8S ribosomal RNA, internal transcribed spacer 2, and large subunit ribosomal RNA
Rfam family: 5.8S ribosomal RNA (bases 1-120)
Source: RNAcentral